CGGGCCGUAGCUCAGUAGGUAGAGCGCCUGGUUUGGGACCAGGAGGCCGUGGGUUCGAGACCCGCCGGCCCGACCA
Molecule: transfer RNA, 76 nt
Filed under: bacterium
Lineage: Bacteria
Description: tRNA-Pro
Rfam family: tRNA
About the family: Transfer RNA (tRNA) molecules are approximately 80 nucleotides in length. Their secondary structure includes four short double-helical elements and three loops (D, anti-codon, and T loops). Further hydrogen bonds mediate the characteristic L-shaped molecular structure. tRNAs have two regions of fundamental functional importance: the anti-codon, which is responsible for specific mRNA codon recognition, and the 3' end, to which the tRNAs corresponding amino acid is attached (by aminoacyl-tRNA synthetases). tRNAs cope with the degeneracy of the genetic code in two manners: having more than one tRNA (with a specific anti-codon) for a particular amino acid; and 'wobble' base-pairing, i.e. permitting non-standard base-pairing at the 3rd anti-codon position.
Source: RNAcentral